Molecule: ribosomal RNA, 327 nt
Filed under: uncultured fungus
Lineage: Eukaryota; Fungi
Description: SSU rRNA
Rfam family: Eukaryotic small subunit ribosomal RNA
Source: RNAcentral
AAAGAUUAAGCCAUGCAUGUCUAAGUAUAAGCAAUUAUACCGUGAAACUGCGAAUGGCUCAUUAAAUCAGUUAUCGUUUAUUUGAUAGUACCUUACUACUUGGAUAACCGUGGUAAUUCUAGAGCUAAUACAUGCUGAAAACCCCAACUUCGGGAGGGGUGUAUUUAUUAGAUAAAAAACCAAUGCCCUUCGGGGCUCUUUGGUGAUUCAUGAUAACUUAACAGAUCGCAUGACCUUGCGCCGGCGACGGUUCAUUCAAAUUUCUGCCCUAUCAACUUUCGAUGGUAAGGUAUUGGCUUACCAUGGUUUCAACGGGUAACGGGGAAU